GCACAAGCGGCGGAGCAUGCGGAUUAAUUCGAUGCAACGCGAAGAACCUUACCAAGGCUUGACAUACACCGGUAACGCCCAGAGAUGGGUGCCCCUUUGUGGUCGGUGUACAGGUGGUGCAUGGUUGUCGUCAGCUCGUGUCGUGAGAUGUUGGGUUAAGUCCCGCAACGAGCGCAACCCUCGUCCUAUGUUGCCAGCGGGUCAUGCCGGGGACUCAUGGGAGACUGCCGGGGUCAACUCGGAGGAAGUGGGGAUGACGUCAAAUCAUCAUGCCCCUUAUGUCUUGGGCUUCACGCAUGCUACAAUGGCCGGUACAAAGGGCUGCGAUACCGCGAGGUGGAGCGAAUCCCAGAAAGCCGGUCUCAGUUCGGAUUGGGGUCUGCAACUCGACCCCAUGAAGUCGGAGUCGCUAGUAAUCGCAGAUCAGCAACACUGCGGUGAAUACGUUCCCGGGCCUU
Molecule: ribosomal RNA, 458 nt
Filed under: uncultured Curtobacterium sp.
Lineage: Bacteria; Bacillati; Actinomycetota; Actinomycetes; Micrococcales; Microbacteriaceae
Description: bacterial SSU rRNA
Rfam family: Bacterial small subunit ribosomal RNA
Source: RNAcentral